RNAcentral lists this ribosomal RNA (464 nucleotides) under uncultured bacterium. RNAcentral describes it as "partial 16S ribosomal RNA". It matches the Rfam family "Bacterial small subunit ribosomal RNA", at positions 339 to 795 of the family's 1533-position model. The record is from RNAcentral.
CUACGGGUGGCUCCAGUGGGGAAUAUUGCACAAUGGGCGCAAGCCUGAUGCAGCCAUGCCGCGUGUAUGAAGAAGGCCUUCGGGUUGUAAAGUACUUUCAGCGGGGAGGAAGGGAGUAAAGUUAAUACCUUUGCUCAUUGACGUUACCCGCAGAAGAAGCACCGGCUAACUCCGUGCCAGCAGCCGCGGUAAUACGGAGGGUGCAAGCGUUAAUCGGAAUUACUGGGCGUAAAGCGCACGCAGGCGGUUUGUUAGGUCAGAUGUGAAAUCCCCGGGCUCAACCUGGGGACUGCAUCUGAUACUGGCAAGCUUGAGUCUCGUAGAGGGGGGUAGAAUUCCAGGUGUAGCGGUGAAAUGCGUAGAGAUCUGGAGGAAUACCGGUGGCGAAGGCGGCCCCCUGGACGAAGACUGACGCUCAGGUGCGAAAGCGUGGGGAGCAAACAGGAUUAGAUACCCCAGUAGUC